RNAcentral lists this transfer RNA (85 nucleotides) under Aminobacterium thunnarium. RNAcentral describes it as "tRNA-Leu". It matches the Rfam family "tRNA". Rfam says of the family: Transfer RNA (tRNA) molecules are approximately 80 nucleotides in length. Their secondary structure includes four short double-helical elements and three loops (D, anti-codon, and T loops). RNAcentral also lists the same sequence under 2 other names. Lineage: Bacteria; Thermotogati; Synergistota; Synergistia; Synergistales; Aminobacteriaceae. The record is from RNAcentral.
GCGAGAGUGGCGGAACUGGUAGACGCGCUGGACUUAGGAUCCAGUGGAUUCCUCCAUAGGGGUUCGAGUCCCCUCUCUCGCACCA